Rana temporaria (common frog) is the source of this 381-nucleotide long non-coding RNA. RefSeq lists it as uncharacterized. The record is from RefSeq and is a predicted model, not a curated record. Lineage: Eukaryota; Metazoa; Chordata; Amphibia; Anura; Ranidae. The transcript is spliced from 4 exons.
AUCAACAAGCAGCACACAUGCUGCAGGCUCUGGGAAACACGGACCAUUGCAACACUAAGCGAUUGAAUUUCUUACAUCUCAAUAGAAACUCAGGUUCCUUGUAUUUUGAGGCCAUACACUUCAUUGCAAUGGAGGCCAUCUAGUGGUUGCUUUUGGUUACUCAGGCCCACUGAUUUAUGUCAGUCCAAUUGAUUCAGCUUUUUGUUUAAAAUCCUAAAAGGGACUGUUUGGUGCAUCAAUCUUGAAAUGAUCUUCUUAGGAUGAUCCGAAGAAGGUUUCCAUCCACUUGAUUGACUCAUUUUGAUGUGUUUUUACUUUUAAUUUGACAAGUUGAGUUCAGUUCUAACAUCACUCCUGAAGAAGCUCUCACGAGCGAAACAU